AUAAGGGAUGCUUCUUUUAGCUGAGUCAACAUUACGAUUGCUGUUAUGAUAUAGAUUUUAUUAAUAGCUCAUAUUUGCGUAACACAGAGGGAUUUCAUCAUUGCUUCUAUACAUAGGAAUAAGCUGUAACUGACAGCGUGAGCUCUCAUUUUGUAACACAGCCAUGUUGGCCCACACUUCCUGCUCUUGUGCAAAGCAAUUUCACAGGCAACCACAAGUUUCUUCACUCUCCUUUUACUCGCUUGAACGCUCUCCACCUACAGCCCGUCCAUAUCUCAGUAAUAACCUGUUACAAUAAACGAAUCCAGCUGCUAAAUCUAAAUCAUUAACCCAUUUCUUGAUUGGGGAAAUUUGCGGCAGCGUGCACAUAUCAGCAUCCAGGCAGUGGAGCGGCGAGUGAGUUAUAACAGGAACUGAUAACAGAGCAGUAAACAUCAGCUGACACAAGAUAAAUCAGACACCCACUCCAGCAUCCUCAUCACUGCUGGGGCUCGGCUGCACUGGAAUUUGGUUGCCAGGGAACCCAAAAAAAAUCCACAAGCCUGUCCUCAGUUUUAAGCAAACGCGAUAUUGGCAGUGACUUUUAAGGUUUAAGAAAUAAGCUAAUGCUCUGGAUUAAUGUUGUCUCAUAAGAAUCAGAAAACUGUUAAUUGCUUCUUUAACAGAUUUAAACCUCACAUUUAACACGGGGCCAUAAAACGCCUAAAGCGAUAUGUGACAAAUCAGCCUGAGAUCGUUGGUCAGCAAGCGAUUGAAGCGACUACCAAUCAGAGUGAAGGAUACAGCUAAUCGACAUAUGACAGGAUGCUCCUCAGCUGAGCUCUUGUUACAACAGCAGAGAUGUCAAUCAGAUGCUUUUGGAAAAGAGACACGAGGGUUAUGUGAAGUGCAGCAGCUCAGUGUGUGAAUGUAAACACAGACAAAGGAGGCGGAUUAUGAGACAGAAGAACAGCAGGAGGAUUACUUGACAGCCACAGACGUAGGAAUGGAGAGAUUGCUUUGUCACUAUAGCUAACUGCAAGGAUGCUACUAGCAUGCUAACAAAGCUUUCUAGUAAAAUUCACAAAACUGUGUCCCAGUUUUUUUGUUCUUUGUUGUUUGUUUGUUUGUUUUUUUUACUGUUUUUAUAUUCCAUAUUAUAUAUAUUUGUGUUUGAGUAACCAGCAUGUUUGAUAAUGUACAGCAGCAUUUGCUAUUAGCAUUUAUGCUAACGCUAAAAUUAUGUAAUCUCGCUUGUGCUAAUCAUCUUUAUGUUAGCAACUGAGAAUCAUUCCUUUAUGUAAGAUAACGUUAGACUUGACUUACACUUGCUCACAUAACUUUAUAAAACAAAACCUAAAAAAAUAAAUACAAUUAAUGAAUUAAUGACGACAGGCAUGUUUUCACUGUUCUUAUGCCCCUUUCCCUGAUUGUAAUCUUCUCACACACACAAACAAACAAACAAACACACACACUCACACACACAUACAUUGUGGGUAGAGUGGAACUGACAGGAGACAAGUGAAGCGAAAUAAUGUUAAUCAGGCCGUUGAAAGUACAUAAUGUUACCAUAAGAGGAGUAAAAUAAGUCUUCCACCAAGCUUAAUAAGAAUGAGAGCGAGACCAUUGUCACCAAUGAAGCAAAAAUGAAGGAAAGCAUAGUUGCACCACCUCCAUGUAUGUAUAUAAAGUCGAUUUCCACGUUGUCACUGUUGUACUUGAUCUAGCUUUUUGAGUCAGGAUCAGACUGGUACUGGAUGAAAAUGAUCAAAGUUUGUUCAAAUAUGUCCAAGUAAUAGAGAUUAUUUUUCAUUCUUUUUCAUCUCUAUGCCAAAACAUCAGGUAUGAACUCAACAGUGUAUUCUUCUCUGGUAACCUCAUUUCAUUCCAGUGUGUCAGAAAUGACAAACACAGGUACAUCCACCACAUAUGCGCAAAGCAGCUGAGAAGGUGAAUGGGAAGC
This is a long non-coding RNA of Oreochromis niloticus (Nile tilapia), 1942 nucleotides long. RefSeq lists it as uncharacterized. The record is from RefSeq and is a predicted model, not a curated record. Lineage: Eukaryota; Metazoa; Chordata; Actinopteri; Cichliformes; Cichlidae. The transcript is spliced from 3 exons.